Molecule: ribosomal RNA, 465 nt
Filed under: Vreelandella stevensii
Lineage: Bacteria; Pseudomonadati; Pseudomonadota; Gammaproteobacteria; Oceanospirillales; Halomonadaceae
Description: partial 16S ribosomal RNA
Rfam family: Bacterial small subunit ribosomal RNA
Source: RNAcentral
CCUACGGGUGGCAGCAGUGGGGAAUAUUGGACAAUGGGGGGAACCCUGAUCCAGCCAUGCCGCGUGUGUGAAGAAGGCCCUCGGGUUGUAAAGCACUUUCAGUGAGGAAGAACGCCUGGUGGUUAAUACCCAUCAGGAAAGACAUCACUCACAGAAGAAGCACCGGCUAACUCCGUGCCAGCAGCCGCGGUAAUACGGAGGGUGCGAGCGUUAAUCGGAAUUACUGGGCGUAAAGCGCGCGUAGGUGGCUUGAUAAGCCGGUUGUGAAAGCCCCGGACUCAACCUGGGAACGGCAUCCGGAACUGUCAAGCUAGAGUGCAGGAGAGGAAGGUAGAAUUCCCGGUGUAGCGGUGAAAUGCGUAGAGAUCGGGAGGAAUACCAGUGGCGAAGGCGGCCUUCUGGACUGACACUGACACUGAGGUGCGAAAGCGUGGGUAGCAAACAGGAUUAGAUACCCGAGUAGUC